AGAGAAUUAGGCUGAAGAGGCAUACGAAUUUUGAUCUCUAAAUGUAAGCUGUCACUACAAUUUGCACCUUCUGUUUUUUCUCUUCAGCUUUACAAGUAAUUUAAUGUUACAAUGCCCCUGCCUUCCUCCACAUACUCGUUCUUUUCUUUACCUCAGACAAAGGGGAAAAUAAUCCUACAAAAAAAGCCAUACAAAAAGGAGAGUUCUGUAGAAGGAGCAGAAUGGACUCUGAACUACAUGGAAUUCUGAACUGAAGGCAAAGCAGCAUUACUUUUCAGAUCUGUUUUACUUCAAAGAUUCUGUAAGUCAUUGUGCCAACCUGUGAUUUUUAUAAAAGUUUAAGGUACUUCAAAGAAAGGACAUUAGG
RNAcentral lists this long non-coding RNA (367 nucleotides) under Junco hyemalis (dark-eyed junco). RNAcentral describes it as "lncRNA (ENSJHYG00000002769.1)". Lineage: Eukaryota; Metazoa; Chordata; Aves; Passeriformes; Passerellidae. The record is from RNAcentral.